This 406-nucleotide ribosomal RNA is filed under the name uncultured bacterium. Its description in RNAcentral is "partial 16S ribosomal RNA". It matches the Rfam family "Bacterial small subunit ribosomal RNA", at positions 29 to 526 of the family's 1533-position model. The record is from RNAcentral.
AUUGAACGCUGGCGGCAGGCCUAACACAUGCACGUCGAGAGAGUGGCGGACGGGUGAGUAAUGUAUGGGAAACUGCCUGAUGGCGGGGGAUAACUACUGGAAACGGUAGCUAAUACCGCAUACCAUCAGAUGAACCCAGAGGGGAUUAGCUGGGAGGUGGGGUAACGGCUCACCUAGGCGACGAUCCCUCGCUGGUCUGAGAGGAUGACCAGCAACAAUGGGACUGAGACACGGUCCGGACUCCGACGGGAGGCAGCAGUGGGGAAGAUUGCACAAUGGGCGCAAGCCUGAUGCAGCCAUGCCGCGUGUAUGAAGAAGGCCUUCGGGUUGUAAAGUACUUUCAGCGGGGAGGCGUUACCCGCAGAAGAAGCACCGGCUAACUCCGGGCCAGCAGCCGCGGUAAUUC